Molecule: ribosomal RNA, 20 nt
Filed under: Clevea hyalina
Lineage: Eukaryota; Viridiplantae; Streptophyta; Marchantiopsida; Marchantiales; Cleveaceae
Description: partial 23S ribosomal RNA
Source: RNAcentral
UCAAGAUGAGUGCUCUCCUA